GAUGAACGCUGGCGGCGUGCCUAAUACAUGCAAGUCGAGCGAACAGACGAGGAGCUUGCUCCUCUGACGUUAGCGGCGGACGGGUGAGUAACACGUGGAUAACCUACUUAUAAGACUGGGAUAACUGCGGGAAACCGGAGCUAAUACCGGAUAAUAUAGUGAACCGCAUGGUUCAAUAGUGAAAGACGGUUUUGCUGUCACUUAUAGAUGGAUCCGCGCCGCAUUAGUUAGUUGGUAAGGUAACGGCUUACCAAGGCAACGAUGCGUAGUCGACAUGAGAGGGUGAUCGGCCACACUAGAACUGAGACACGUACCAGACUCCUACGGGAGGCAGCAGUAGGGACUCUUCGGCUAUGGGCGGAAGCCUGACGGAACAACGCCGCGUGCGUGAUGACGGUCUUCGACUCGUAAAACUCUGUUAUUAGUGAAGAACAAAUGUGUAAGUAACUAUGCACGUCUUGACGGUACCUAAUCAGAAAGCCACGGCUAACUACGUG
Molecule: ribosomal RNA, 497 nt
Filed under: uncultured bacterium
Lineage: Bacteria
Description: partial 16S ribosomal RNA
Rfam family: Bacterial small subunit ribosomal RNA
Source: RNAcentral